Molecule: ribosomal RNA, 515 nt
Filed under: uncultured Doratomyces
Lineage: Eukaryota; Fungi; Ascomycota; Sordariomycetes; Microascales
Description: eukaryotic LSU rRNA
Rfam family: Eukaryotic large subunit ribosomal RNA
Source: RNAcentral
UCAGUAACGGCGAGUGAAGCGGCAACAGCUCAAAUUUGAAAUCUGGUCACCUUACGGAGGCCCGAGUUGUAAUUUGAAGAGGAUGCUUUUGGCGAGGUGCCUUCCGAGUGCCCUGGAACGGGACGCCACAGAGGGUGAGAGCCCCGUAUGGUUGGACACCGAGCCUAUGUAAAGCUCCUUCGACGAGUCGAGUAGUUUGGGAAUGCUGCUCAAAAUGGGAGGUAAACCCCUUCUAAAGCUAAAUAUUGGCCAGAGACCGAUAGCGCACAAGUAGAGUGAUCGAAAGAUGAAAAGCACUUUGAAAAGAGAGUUAAACAGCACGUGAAAUUGUUGAAAGGGAAGCGCUUGCGACCAGACUUGCGCCCGUCGGAUCAACCGUCGCUUGUCGGCGGCGCACUCCGGCGGGCUCAGGCCAGCAUCAGUUUUCCCGGGGGGAGAAAGGCGGUGGGAAUGUAGCUCCUAGGAGUGUUAUAGCCCGCCGCGUAAUACCCUCGGGGGGACUGAGGACCGCGCAU